UACGUAGGGUGCAAGCGUUAAUCGGAAUUACUGGGCGUAAAGCGUGCGUAGGCGGCUAUGCAAGUCAGUUGUGAAAUCCCCGGGCUCAACCUGGGAACUGCAUCUGUGACUGCAUCGCUGGAGUGCGGCAGAGGAGGAUGGAAUUCCGCGUGUAGCAGUGAAAUGCGUAGAUAUGCGGAGGAACACCGAUGGCGAAGGCAGUCCCCUGGGCCGGCACUGACGCUCAUGCACGAAAGCGUGGGGAGCAAACAGG
RNAcentral lists this ribosomal RNA (253 nucleotides) under uncultured bacterium. RNAcentral describes it as "partial 16S ribosomal RNA". It matches the Rfam family "Bacterial small subunit ribosomal RNA", at positions 524 to 776 of the family's 1533-position model. The record is from RNAcentral.